GAAGUGGCAGAAUGAGGGAAUAUUAAAGAGGACUAGAAGCAGCAAAGACAUGCACCAUUACCCCAAAAUGAGAAAGGAGGACUUAUAAAGAAAAAGAUCAUUACACAUAAAAAAUAAAGAUUGUGUGGCAUAUUCUU
RNAcentral lists this long non-coding RNA (137 nucleotides) under Neogale vison (American mink). RNAcentral's name for it is "Neovison vison (American mink) TTC28 antisense RNA 1 conserved region 2 (ENSNVIG00000004233.1)". It matches the Rfam family "TTC28 antisense RNA 1 conserved region 2". Lineage: Eukaryota; Metazoa; Chordata; Mammalia; Carnivora; Mustelidae. The record is from RNAcentral.